Molecule: long non-coding RNA, 25134 nt
Filed under: Phoenix dactylifera (date palm)
Lineage: Eukaryota; Viridiplantae; Streptophyta; Magnoliopsida; Arecales; Arecaceae
Description: long non-coding RNA (PDAC_LNC001488)
Source: RNAcentral
UUACAUGUUCUUAUGAUGAAUUGGAAUCACCUGUUGACUUAUCAGAGUAAAAUCUGCUACAUUGGUAGAUUUUUAUGACUAAUGCUGUCUGUGGUUCCUGGCUAAUUUUAACCAGCAUAUGUGAAUAAUUUUAUUCGAAUAAUUCCUUGCUAUUCAGAUAAAUCCAUUCAAUGCUUCCUCCCGAAUAGCUUUAACCUGACUAAAACUGAAUAUAAAGGUGCUUUCAGUUUUCUGGAAUCUCAAAAGUUCUUUCGUUAUUGGGAUUUUAUUCAAGAGGAUAAAAAAUUGUUUGGCUGAGUAAAUCUGAAUAAAGUUGAAAAAUGGUGAUUUGUUCAGAUUUAUAGUUGAAAAGUUGUUAUAUUGUUCAGCUUUAUUUAGGUUUAUUCGGGAACCAAACAUGGCCUAAGUUGUAAUUUAAUUAAAUGAGAUAUCAGGAAACUCUAUGAUAUUUUAAGAGUAGUGAUACUCUUACAUGCGGAUCUAUUAAAUGACUUAAACAGACUGAUGUGGCAUUCUGAGAUGGCAUUGCAACAUCAGCUAUUUCUUUUUAAAAGAGAUGGCAAUAUAUCAAGUAGGUUUUUUGUAGCUCGUUGUUCUCUUCCCAUUUUCCAUGCCAUACUGUUUGUCACAUCUAACUACUUGAAGUCACAAUUAUUGUGGUCAUUGAUGGUUAUCAAGUGAUGGCAGUACCAGCUCUCUCACCUCACCCCGAUCUCCUCCCCCUCUUGACCUUCUCUCCCCCUUCCCCUCUUACCAGAAUACACCUACUCCCAGCACACGCUUCUUCUCUCUCCCUUCCACGGCGGUGCUUAAUGAUGGGAAGUCCUCAACGGCUCAACUCCAUCUUCAUGAAUCCAACAUCAAAGCUUUGUCCUCCAUCUCCCUAAUCCCUGACCUCUCCUUGAGUGGUCCAAACUAGACAUGUUCAUGGUCCAGGCCGGGCUUUGCCCAAAAAUUAACACAAUUUGCUGAGGUCCGAGCCGCCCGUCCUGUGGGCCUACUUUCCAGGUCCAAUUCUGGCACUUAUUUAGGCUUCGAGCUCAGGCCUUGGGCUUCCUUAACAAUUUUUCCCAAUUUCUGAAAAAUGCUAAAAAAUACUAAAUACGAAUAAUUAAAUGUUUCUAACAGCAAUUUCAAUGUUUAAAAACUACUCUAAGAAUCUAGAUCUUCUUGUAUUAAAUUACAUAUCAACAAAAUCUUUAAGUUUAAUCAUAAAAAUCUAGAGUUAAAAAAAUUUGGGCCAGGCCAGGCUUUAAUCCUCAAGCCCGAGUCCGGCCCAUCAACUUAAAACCUUGAUCCAAGCCCACCCAAAAGACUUUGGGCUUCACCAAGCUUUUUCCUCUAGGCAUCUUCGAGUUCUUCUACUCCAACCACUUUGACCAUAUAGAUAUGCUCUGCCAGGGUAAUCACUAAAAUGUCAUCAAUCCCAUCGAGCCUCGAGAGAGGAAGGCGUGGGGAGGUUUCUUGCUGGUGACAACGACGACAUUGAUGACUCUCAGUUGGAGAGAAGAUAGAAGGAAAAUGUGAGAACCAAGAUCACAUGAAGAGAGAAGUAGGGCAAGACGCAAGAGAGAGGGGAUGGGAUGCUUUCUGUUCCUUUCUUAAAGAUGCUGAAGUGGCAUAGUAUUUUUUGUUGUUUAGCUAUGUUAUGAUCUGUGUGUGCACGUACAAGUGAACAUGGAGCAUGCUUUAAUUUUCAGUAGUCACACGUUUGGAAAUUAGUGAUGACUGAGUAAAUUUGUCCACAAUUGCAAAUUGAUUUGAAACUUUGAAGGAUUUAUGGCAAACUAUUAUCAAUCCAUCAAAAAAAAAAUCAUGAAUGAACUUAAUUUGCAAACGAGCUUGUUCUUGUUUAGCAUAAAUAAAGAAUGGCCUUUUUUAUUUUUAUUUGUAAAUUACUUGCAUAAAUAGAUAUUGUAACCAAACCCCUCUCCGGAUUCUUCCAUUCUUCAGAUGUCAUAUUCUUUUGUUGUUUUGGGUUUCAAAGUUUAGAUCGAUUCUGGAUUAAAAUAGGUCUGACUCAAAAUCUUUAUCUACAUAUGAUCCUUGUAUGAUUUUACAUGAUUUUUUUCUCAAUUUACUGGUUCAUUCACAUGUUGGUAUAUAUAUUUUUAAUUUCACAUGCAGCUGCAUGCAUUUGUGGAGUAUGAAACUAUUGAGGAUGCUGAGAAUGCAGUAUGUUCUGAACUUCUAUCGCAACUGUGUUUUCCAUUUCAUGUGCACACUUUGAACUUCUUUGGCUGAAGGCUCUAUUUAUUACUGGGCAUACAGGUCACAGAGCUCAAUGAUGAGAGAAAUUGGAGAACUGGGCUUAGAGUUCGUAUACUAUCUAAAUGCAUGGUACUUCCACAUCAUUCUUACAGCCUUUCGUCUUUCUAACACAUUCAUAAUAGUCAUUUUUGUCAUUCAGUACCAAGAAAUUUUUUGUUCCUUGCAAUUACAGAAGAUGGCCUGGCUAAGGUUUGACGAUAUUCUGGACAUCAGCCUAUUUUAACUAGUAUAAUAAUUCAAAGUUAAUGGAUGAUAAUUGCUGGACUGCAUCCAGACUUUGUGAAGCAUGUAAACCUCCUCUCAACCCCUUAAAAAAAUUAAAUUGUUAAUUAAUUAAUAAACUUUGUAUUAAUGGACUAUUGAGUCAUAACUAUUUUCCUUCAAAAAAUUUCAGGGGAAAUAUGUCCUGAAUAUUUUAAAUUUUCUAUGAAUCAUUGUCCAGCUUUUGAUUUUUGUUUAUUUUUAUUUUGGACUGUCAGCUCGGCUUAGGCGGCUAGUGAGUUGUUUCAUCUAUUGCUACUUUUAGUUUUUGUGGAUGAUUUAAGUAGUAAAAUUGCUGUAUUUGUUGAUCAGAUGCUUUAGAAAUACAUGAGAUGUUGGGUCGUAACUCAUUCAGUCAUUUUCUAUUUAACUGUUUAAAAGUAUUCUGUAUAUGGGUCUGCAUGAUAUUUUAUCAAUGAGAUGUUUGGAUGUGAUGCUAAAUCUCUAUGUUGGUGGUGGUGGUGGUGAUUAGUUGAAAUUGUUGUUGCAGGUGGUCGCUUAGGCAGUAAAUGGGCCUUAGAAUGCCUAGGCGACCUUUGCCUAGAUCACCAUAACGUAAGCACCUGCACCACCCAAGUUUUGAGGGCCUUUCUAAGCAGCUGGGUGACAUCUAGGUGGUGAUUUCUGAAUAGGCGUUUGGCCAUUGUUUUAUGUGUUUUACAUGUGUUUUUUUUUCCUCUAUGCAUGUAUAUGCAUCUAGUUGUAUGUUGUAUGUGUAUGCGUAUGCAUUCGCAUGCACAGAGAGAGAGAGAGAGAGAGAGAGAGAGAGAGAGAAUUUGUGCGUCUCAGUGUGUGUUAAACCCUUUGUUUAUUUAAUAUAUACAAGAUCUAUAAAAAGGAAGCAGAUUACUGAGUGGAUGAUUGUCUUUUACAUUAAGUAGUUGCCUUCUGGGUAAUUGCUUUGUUGCCUUGUCAGUCACCUAGGCUAUAGGGCUUGGUCUGCCAACGUGUAUUGCCGGGCUUCUUGGGUUACAAGCGUCGCUCAAGUAUCCUAGUAUAGCAUGUAGAUGCAUCCAAGAUUCCCUAUAGUUUGUAACUGAGUUUUCUCAAUUCUUUCAAGUACAUUGAAUAUGCUAAUUAGGUAAAUUGUAAGUCACUUUGUCUUCCCUUUUCAAAACAGACAAAACAUGGGCCAGGUCAAGGCAGAAAAAUAGGACAUGAAGGUGAUGCAAAUGGAGAUGAAGAUGAAAUUGCCACAACUAAUCAGCCAACUGAGAAGCAAGUGGAGGAUCCAUCUCAGUCAUUUGAGGAUUUAAUGGAGCAUGUGGUAAGCCAUAUUCAUACAAUUUUUUGUCAUUGUCUGAAGCUUAUAGUGCAGCAACACUAGUCGGUCAAACCAAUUUGGAAAGUUCACUCGAGUUUUCAAUGCAUGCUAUGGUUGCUUUUUUUAGGGCAUUCUUAUUAAUGAAAUAUAUAAUCUAUUGAUCCUUCAUGCUGAAACUGAAUUUGUCUCAUCUAGCCCUGGAAGGAGUACUGAAAUAUGGUGCAUCAUGGACAGGGUGAGGAGAAUUUCAAUGACAAGGAUGGCAUGGCAAGGCGCAGCAAGGGGCGGGGACGUGGAGGAAAGGGGCGUGGACGGGGGCAGUACCACCAUAAUGACAACCGUAAUGGGGGCCAUGCUAUUGGCACCCCACCUUCAAGCCACCUAAUCCAUGCUGUUCAGCAGCCGGCGGUUAGCAAGCAACCACCCGGACCUCGCAUGCCAGAUGGCACAAGGGGAUUCACAAUGGGACGAGGGAAGCCACUUAACCCCAUCAAUACAGAUUGAUGGCCUUCAACAUUAGCUUGAUGGCGCUGUACUUUGUUAUGUUGAUUGGGGUGAUUUGGAUAAGAGGGUCUGGAGCAGUGAUUAUCAUCAGGUUUAUCAAUUGCUGUCGGCAUGGUGAGCAAGUGUGAUCUUGGACUUGAUUUCAAAGGAGAAUUUUUUUUCUUUUUUUCUUUUUUUUGAUCCUUGCUCCUAUUUGGGGGGAGUUUUUAGGUGUCCUCCAGGACUGAUGUCAGUUUGUCCUUGUCACCUUGUUACAUUGUUUUUCCUUCUGAUGCUAUUUGACAGUUUAUCAUGUGAAAAUGGAAAGAAAGAAAAUCUAGGAGAGGUUGAACUGGUAAAUGUAGACUGAUAAAUGAUGUCCUCUUGAAUAAUUGAUAUAUUUGUAUGUGAAUCUAUUAUCUUAGCUAUAGAAAAUAAAGCUUGUCAAUAAAUAGUCUUGCUUUGUUUGCCUCUUUGAAUUUUAAUUUGUAAUAAUUUCAUUUUGAUUUUGAUACAGACAAUUAUCAUUAGCUAUAAUUGGCAUCGCAUAAUGUUUGUGCUCCCUUAUGGAGAUGGAAUUUGGCAUCCCCGGAGAAAUUGGAAUUACUUUUCCCCAAAAAAAAUUUGAAGCAAGCAAAAUUCUCUGAACGUUGUCCAUCUGAUAAUCUUGACCUUUCAUCAAGUAUUUGAAGCAAAUCUACGGCUAGCUUCGUCAACACGUCGCGUUGGUAAUGGGAUUGGACAGAUAGCCCAAAAGGUGCAGUUGCAUUAUUUAGGGCAUGUUUGGGGCCUUGCUGUUAUCUCCAACAGGAUCCACGAGAGACGGGAAGUGCCGGGAAAGGAAGGGACCGAGCAGGAGAGACGCAGGGCCCGAUCCCAACCAUGGUAGAGGUUUUUUUUCUUAAUUCCUGAAGGGAAGGGAACAUCCCCAAUGAUCCCCCCCGCACACACCCUCUCUCUGGCUUCUGCUCCCCCACCACCCCCAAAAAAAUACAGAUAACAGAGUACUGAAGUCAUUAUCGAUAUCUGCAGAAAGUUAUUACCGAUACGAGGAGUUACUUCGCAUAUAGUCAUUAGCAUGGACUUUAGUAGAGUGCUCUAAUUCUUGAUUUGCGCACUUUUUGAUGGUGGAUUUUGUGAAACAUUUUUGGAGUGGACACGGAACUUUAGUUCAACUUUUUAUGCAUAUUGUUGUUAGAGCAGAAAAAAAGAAUGCGUUCCCAUAUAAGGUAUUAUCCGCUUUGGGGGCUGAUCAUCAUCGGGCCACUGGCCUAGAUCAGGCGUUAUAUAUCCCUCACAGGUUUUUCCUUCAAAAGCCGCCUCCUAACGGAAAGAAUUUUUGCCCUUCCAUUUAAGGCACAAUUCUUUCCGCUAUUCAAUUGAUGUGGGACUAAUUUAUCUGUUAGAUGAGAAAAAGGGAUGCAUCCCCACAGGCGGUAUUGUCCGCUUUGGGGGCAGAUCAUCCUCGUGCUAGCGGCUUAGAUGGGGCACCAUAUACCUCUUACGGUUUUGCCCUUCAAAAGACGCCUCCUGAGGGAAGAGGUUUUUGCCCCUCCAUUUAAAGCACAAUUCUUUCCGCUACUCAACCGGUGUGACACUAAGUCCAAAACCCCCUCCACCCCCAACAAUUAUUAUUAUUAAUUUUCUCUCUCCAAUUUAUUCUUCUUGCAGAUUUUUUUUCUAUUGUUAUUGUUGAGAGUGAUCCUAAGCUGGUUGAUCUCAUUCUGCAAGUGAUCGUGCCUUUCUACAUACUAUCAAACAAUACGUAGAUUUUCUAAGUAGAGAGCAUAUAGAUCCAUGUGCAACAGUUUUCUUAAUCUUUGAGACCAAGAAGCACCUAUGAGGGCUCUCUUCUGCAUCUAGCAAGAUAGAACAAUUGGAUGCAGCCUAGGGCACUGAAAUUGCCCUUAAAGUAACAAGAGCCUUGUCCUUUCCUAAGGUUCAAUGCUCCAUAGACCACAAUGAAUCCAUUGGCCAGCACUCUCUUCCUCUCCUUAAGUACUGAUUGGAUAGAAUAGAAAUGCGUCUUCUGUUAAGAACAAAGAUAAUAAUUAAUCAGCAUGGCUUUCCGCAAAAUCCUCAUCUUUUUUCUUUUCUUUUCUUUUCUUUUUCUUUAUUUUUUCUUUUUUGUUUGGUGGAAAUAAUGGUGGGAACACCAGCUAUGUAUUUGAGUUCAAGCUUGGAACCUCUCUAUUGGUUUAUUCUUUUUUUGUUGAGUAAUUUAUGUUCCUAUAUUUAUUAUGGUCUUGAUAGAGUUUGAUGCGCAUUGCUUAACUGCUAUUUAAUCUGGGGAAGUCCUGUGAGGACACUGAUCUCUAGCUCGAAGGUCAAGCCCUCAACCACCGAGCUACAUGCAAUACACAUUUUUAUCUUAUAUAAGGAAUUUGUUUUACUUAUUUACAUAUAUUUGGAUCAUUCAUUUGAUAUAAAUUAUAAUAUUUCAUAUUUUAAUUAUUAUUUUUUAUUAAAAAUUCUUUUCUCUUUGAUAAAAGUGAAAAAUGAACAUAUGUUAUUUUAUUCUUUAUGAUAUUUUUAAAAUUUUAUUGUUAAAAUAGUUAAAAUUAACUCCAAUAUACUUCUAUUCAUAUAUAAUUUUUCUUACAAGCUUUCUAUGAAUAGAUAGUCAUGAUUAUUUUAUUUAUUCUAUAAUUAGAAGGUAAUAAUGAUAUUUGAUAAAAAUAACGAUAUUUUAUAUAUAUGCUUUAUCUUAAAUAAUUUUUAUUAUCAAUAUUUUAAAUAAAAAUCUAAUUGAAUUAGCAACCUAGCUAGAUUCUUGACUAGGUCAGUCUCCAUGUCAAUUUAGGAGCUAUACUUUAAAUCCUUAUUAGUUUCCAUCCUUUAUGAUUAUAUAAUUAAUAUCAGUUUUCAUCACUAAAUUUUGCUAAAACUUCGGUUUAUAUUCAAAGAAUAUUCGGCUUAUGUUUUAUAUUAGGAUAGAAAAAAAAGUAUAAAUAACGUCUAACUUAUUUUGGCAUCUGUUAAGAACAGACAUCCAGUUAAAACCUUACUGUUUGUAGUGCAACCUGGUGCAAUCAAGGAAUAAUUAUCAGGUUUAAAUAAAAAAAAGAAUAAGUAUCAAGACUCUCUUAGAGUCGCAAAGAGUUUAGAUGAAAGAACAAGAUGAUAACUUUUGAUAUGAGAAUGUUGCGUUUAUCACAAAGGAACAAAUAUGUUAAAUCAAAAGGAGGUCCAAUAAAGGUGUCUAUUCAUGAAAUAAUUAAUUAAAUACCACUUCAUCUGUAACAUAGUAAAUGUAGGACCAGCAAAAAGUAAUGUAUGCAGAUGAAAUGUGGAUUUCAUAAUAAAGGCCAUGGCUAAUGCUAUUAUACGUUUUUCCCCUCAAAAGAAAAAUGUUGUUAUUUAUCUUAAAUUGCACCAUAUUCUCUAUAAUAUGAACACGAUGGCUAUGCCAUCAUUUUACUCAAAAAAAAUAUAUCAUUAUUUUUUUUUGAAUUUAAAUUCACGGUUCUUUCUUCUUUUUCUUUUGAUAAAAAAUUCAUGGUCUCAAUGUCGCGAAAGUCUAAAAUCUAAUUAAGGUAACCGUAUUUUGGUAGAUCAUAUGCUUCAUGGUGUGUAUGUGUUAAUCGAUGGCGGUUUCUCUAAACUCGAUUGACCUAUGUUAAUAUACAUCAGAAGAAUUAGAGUGAAAAAAUAGGUAGAGCAUAGCUAAGUUAUUUAGUACUUCAAUGCCAUAAUUAAGUAUAAUAAAAAAGCGCCGCUUUAAGACUUAUGACAUGCCAUCUACUUUGAGAACUAAUACUUGAUAUAAUUUAGAAUAAUCCUCAAAGAUGGAGAAUUAACCUGUACCUCGGAGUCCUUCCAUCAAUCCUCAAGGUUGGUGAAUUCCACAUGCUCUAGCCAUAAUUUUUUCCCCUUGAAACAAAAUUAUCUUGGUCUCCGAAGGCUCACUUGAAACCUUUAGAUAGAUCGCACGUGUUCGAAUUUGAGAGAUCUAUUUGCUUAAUUUCCAAGAACAGGAUAUACUCUUGAAGGAUUCAUGGUUGCACUUCCCUAAAUAAAUAAAAUUCCAUCUAGCUUUGCCAAGGUAAGGAAGAUGUUCAGGUCAGUGGAAGUGAUAAAUUCUUGUUCAACUUCUCUAGAUCCUUAGCUCUCAAUCUUUAAUUCAUGCAAUUACAUUAAAAGCCUCUUCGGCUUUUACAAGAGAGUGAAUUAAUUGUAACACUGAAGUCCGCUUCGAUCCCCUCUCCACAUCAAUAGAUCCAUGUGCAAACAUCAAAACCCAUGCAAAUCAUAGACUCAACGUAAGCAGGUAGUCCUUAUCUUGAACUGAAACCAAGGUUAGUCCCUUUCCCAGCAUUCUCUUCAAGGCCAGUGUUAAUAUCAACCUAUAUCUUUAUUCAUCUAUUCCCAAUGUUGCAUUGAGAUUUCCUACGCUUAGAGCCCCUUGACUUCAAGGUUGUGCAGGAACUACUCGAAUAAAUAAAAGAGUCCCACCACAUGCACGAGCCACAGACCUCUCACUCUCUCUCAGCCUUCAAUGUCUUUAAUGGGCACGAGACAGAAAGGAGUGUAUUUAGGGAGCAUGAUACGGGGUGCAAUGGUGUUCUCUCCUUUUCUUUGCUCAUCGUUUCCUUCCCCUCAACAUUUCCUCCCCCUCCUCUCACUCUCCAUUGCUGGGAAAGCGUGCAACUCGCAAGACUCCAAGAAGGAACAGUCAAAAUAAAGCCCAUGGUCUUGGCGCUUUCCCAUAAAUGCCUCCAUCCCCCACCAUUCAAUACACCCCCUCCUCCCUCUCAUCUCUCUCUCUUUCUCACUCUCACUCUCACACACACACGCAUUUUUAAAACAGGAUUGAUCACAGUUAUCUAUGUGCAUACCUCUGUUCCCUCCUAUGGACAUUUAAAUUGUUCUCUUUGUAGGGAUCAGAGUCCAUUACUUUACUCUGGACCGCUCUUCCUGGUGGGGACUGGAGUUGAUUUGUCUCUCUUUCUUCCUUCUCUCUUGAGGCCUUAAAUGCCUCUCUUUUCCCACCUACACAUACACCCGAGCGCGUGGGGGUGUCGGAAUAUCCCCCGACCCUCGAAGCCGUCCCUCGCAAAUACCACCACACAUACUUCCCAACUCCAAAAACAAAAACCCACCCACGCCGCGGGAGCCGUGCGGGAACUUUGAAACGUUGGAGCUGCGCUUCUCUUCUUUAUUUCUUCCAUUAAUGGCCCAUGAGGCUACCCAUCCAUGCACGUGGGUGUCCGUCGUGGCCCUCCAAUCAGGGCCGUACGCUGCAUGUGCCUGAUUAGACGCAUCGUGGGUCGAGGAGGGGCGGCUUUGACUUGGGCCGUGCUCUUCUUUCCUGGUGGGUGGAGCCCACGGAUCGCUAGCUCCUGUCAUGCAUCUAGUUCACACCCCUCUUUUUUUUAUUAUUUUUUAUUUGAUAAAUCAAAUAUGCCGCACCAUCCUUGUAUAGAUAUAUUUAGAAAAUAAAAAUAAAAGACUCAAAAAUUGAGCCGAAACGUCUGUUAUGGAAUCCCAUAAUAUAAUUCUAAUAUAGUUGGCCACAUGAACCACCAUCCAAUCAAUUAUACUAUUAGCUUCUCAGAAAGUCCAUUAUUCGCCAGCAAUCACAGAAGAAUGAGAUUUGAUUCUGCAGAUAACGAAGUUAUGCUCUAAAUGAAUGUGGGAAGCUCUUAAGUUUCUAUAGCAUGAGUCAGGUCUUUCCAUGCAAUUUUUUGAAUGCAUAUGCAUAUACAUAUAUGCCCAACUCAAUGAGGGCAUAUACCAAGGGUCAAGUAAACUAGAACUGUGAAAAAGCUACAGUUGGCCGGCUUCUGUUUGGAUCCAUUACCCCAUAAAAAGUUAAAAUUCUAAUAUUAUUUCUUAUUAAGUUAUGAAAAGGGGGGAAAUAUUGGACAUCUUCUCCAUUAGCAUUUUGACUUUCUUGUGUAUAAAAUCCACCAAAGCUCGUACCAAUAUAUAUAUGAUAUGUUGCAUAUAUCUUAAUUCGACUGUAAAUUCAUAAAUUAAAAUUUAUGACACUUAAAGGUUUCUUUCUUUCAUUCAAAACAGUGGAUGAUCCACCGUGCUUUUCAUUGACAAAUGAAUUAUGCAUAAUAUCGAUCUUAUGAUAUAUUAAUGGUUCAAUUAUAUCUAAACAUGGAGGAAAGCAGAAAAUUGAGAGCAGUGUUAAUGGAUCCAAGAUUACUUCACAAUUGCCUACUCACUGAGCUAAGUUAUUGAGACGUGUGUGAGCAAUAGCAUAAGCAUCGAAAUGAACAAAUUAAUAGGCUUGGCACUAUGGCACUCCAACUUGAGCUCGUGACUUUUGACCCGGAGCAUCACUAGAAAGACUAGCAAAAAUAUGUGAGGUGCUCUUCUUGUUACAAUAGACUGAGAGCAUAUAGCAUGAGUCAAAAUGGUGAUGCCUUCAUGAGUCCAACCAGCAGAAUUCUUUAACGAAUGUAAGGAACAUAAACUAUUCAAUUUGACUUCCACAUUUCUCCAGAAGAGUAAAACUAACUCGGUACCAUUUUUGUUUUGCUAAACAUUCUGCAGUCAACACAUGCGCGACCAAAGUCCUGUAAAAUAAUGUUGUGAACAUAGCAUCAUGUGGAGAAGAAAAAGGAGUUAUCAAAGUGAGCAGUGGCAUAAAAAAAAUCUUGAACAUCUUUACUAUCAGUUGUUCAAGCCAACUUAGACCGGACCAUGCCGAUUUGAUUCGCAAGUUCCAUGCAAAGAGCAAAAACUUUUUUGGUUUCGAAAAAAAAAAUCACUAAAAUAUUUUUUCUAAAGAUCUGUUGCCUAAAUAUAUGAUAUCUAAAAAAAUAGUUUUUACAUGUUUGAUUGACUAUGAAAAAGUGGCAUAAUAUAAAAUUUUUAUAUUUAAUUAAACAUCUAUUUUUUUGGAAAAAUUAUGUGAAAUACUUAUUAUACUUUUAAUAAAAAAAUCUAUUGAAAACUUAAAGGCAUUUUUAAAUAAAUAUAUAUAUAUCUUAAUUUCCAAGCAGUGGUAAUUAAUUUUUUUAUAUUUUAUAUAAAUUUUUUCAUAAAAUAUAAAUAAUAUUUUUUUUUCAGCUCUCUCUCUCGUACCUUUUUUUAUAAUAUUUUCAUCUCUUUUGUCUCUGUGAAUCAAAUGAGCUCUAAAGCCACCAAGGUGGUAACCUGGUGGUAAGGGGGCUUGAACUCCAUCCAAGUUGUUUGGGUUCAAAACGUGCGGGCGUCGAUUAAAUCAGGGAACCGCAUGCCCCACGCUCGGAUGGCUCUGUAUGGAUAUACUUUCCUUCCAUCAGUACUCAGGUGGCGCUGUGGUGACGUACUCACAUGUGAAUGGCCCAAUAAGAUUUUCCACGGAUUGGGGAGGGCAUACGAAAACUUGUAAUCCACAUUGAAUAUUUUCUGGCGGAAGGGGGCAGUUGCAGGUGGGUUCUGCCCCUCCCUCUCCCCUCCAAUUUUUUACCAAAAAAAAAAUAAAUCUAAAAAGUUAUGUACAAAAGUACGGAAACAGCGAGCACCAUACAUGGAUAUAUGGGUGAACAGGCACGUUUAUAUCCCCCGUGUGGUCCCACCUGAGUCGGGAAGGGCAGAACGAGGGGCGCAGCAGGAGACGUGAGCAGGUGGGCAUGCAUUUAAGGAUGGGAUCAUCAUUGCUUGGGUACAUCAGCUUUGACUAUCUUUUGCAUGUGUGCAUAUCUCUAGAGACAUAAAGAGAGAAACAAGUGUUCUCUCUCCCAAGUCUCAGCUUUUCUUUGGAUUUUUGCUAGCUGGCGGAGAUUGGUGACGGUAAGAAUGCUGUAUGACAUUAACUUUCUCUGCAGAACGGCAUUUUGGGAAGGCUUCAUGGCUCCCUUUAUCGAUGGCUCUCUCUCCCUCUCUCUUUCAAAGUCCUUGUGAAAUGUCUCCUGCUCUCCUCUGAGAAAUGCCUUCUGCCUCCUCAAAUCCCCAACUGAUCUCCCUACUCGUGUCACUUUUCCAUCACUCCACAAAGUCACGAGAGAGCGAGCCAAAAAAAGAAGGUGAAUCGUAAACUCAUUCGCANNNNNNNNNNNNNNNNNNNNNNNNUUUAGAGAACGGAAAAAGAAAGAACCUUGCAGACUUGAGCAGAAAUGGGCGACCGCCAACUCAAGAGGAAUCAUUAUAAAACCUCUCAUGCUUCCCAUAAAUGUUUUCAGCUUCAACUCACCGUACUAAACUUUUGGGCUUCCCUCAAAUGCUUCUCAGUCUCCAUCACAAUUGAAUCGGUCAAUAUAUUCAUUCCAUGUACCUUUGUCUUUGGAAAUUGACCACCAAUAUGGACUGUGGUUGACCUAGCCAUAUGAUGGUGAUCGGUGGGGACUGAGACCUAGCUUUCUUAUUGACAAGCAGCAAGACAAUAUCUUCUAAAGGCCGUCAGAAUUUAAUGGGUACAGAACUAAUGUAAGAUUUGAUAAUGAUGGGAAAACUGAUGUCUGCCGAAGGAAAGGUAUCAUCACAUCGACCCUAUUAUAGAUUUCCCAACCAUCCUUGCCCAUAUAAUACAUUCUGUAUGGAAAUCUUCUUUCCAUGGGAUAAGCAUUCCUUGACUCAACCACAUGAUGGUUGUCAUGAGACCUACCUUUCUUAUUGACAAGCCUCGAGCCAAUAUCUUCUCAUGACCAUCAGAAUUUUAUGGGUACAGAGCUAUGGAAGGUUUGAUAAUGAUGGGAAAACUGAUAUCCACCUAAAGAAAGGCAUCAUAUGAUGGAUGUUUAUAAUUCUAUUGUCAGCACUUUGAUCCUACCCAAGAUUCCACAACCAUCCUUGCCAAUAGAAUACAUUCUUGCAUAUAUGGAAAUCUUUUUGAGUGAUAAGCAUUCCAUGCGUGGUUUAUUCAUCAUGGAAAUAGCACCCAAAUAUUCCAACAGAUCUACAAUUUGUUAUAAGAUGCAAGAAGAAAGAAGAAAUCCAAUCCACCAAAACAAUGCAUUAAAAGUGGUGGAUAUGAUUCCAAAACAAACAGCUCCAGGUGGGUCCCUUCUGCAGUCAAGACAAUAUAUGUGAGCUAAUGGUAAAUUUUGGGUCAAAGUGGUAGAUUUUCUUCCCCCCCAACAAAAGCAAUUCUUCUUUCUUCUUUGCAUCUAGAACAAUUUGAAAAUAACUUACAAAAUUCUGUUAGCAGGUAAUAAAUAUCAUUACAACAGAAAAGGGUAAAGGAGUUCAAAUAAGAAAGCCACGUAUCCAAGGGAGGAAAACAGCAACUAGGACUGCCACUAUAACAAGCACUGGGAAUACAAAAUGUCCAACUCGCUAGAUCAAGAAGACAGGAUAAAAUAAACAGCACUGAGAGAAAACAAGAGGGAAAAAGAAAAAUCUAUUUUCUGUAAAUGUAUUGAAACCAAAAUCCAGGCCUCUUUGUCAAUUCUAACUCUCUCUCAGUUUCAUCAGCAAGGAUCCAUCCUUCCAAGUCCUAUACCUGCAGCUCAACAAUAUACAUAAACUUAAGUUUUAGAUUUUCUGAACACAAAUCCAAAUAAUGCAAUUUUGCAAGAUGCUUUUCUGGAAGGAUUUUUUUUUACACUAGUUUCUGUCAAUGAAACUGUGAUCCAAAAGUGUAACCUGAUGAAAUUUUCAACAAAAAACUUGGAUGUCAACAACACAAUAUAUGGUUGUGAUCAGGCAUGGCAUGUACUCACAAGCACCCCAUGCCAAAGCCAUAACAAAUUUGUCUUCAUUGUGGAAGAAACGAGAAGCUGGAAGAAGUAUUUUUAAUAGUAGAAUUUCCAUUAUAUUUCCAAAAUAAACAUUCUUCUUUUUUGUUUUUUGGGAAAACAAGUGAGGUCGUGGAAAUAUACGUCGAAAUUAAUAACGAGCUUCUCUUUGGAGCAUAAUAUAUAUCUAUUUGGAAUAGAGGCAGAAAUUAAGAUCCACCAGUUAACUUAAAAUGAAAUAUAUAUCUUAUUAUAACAAAAACUAGCUAGCCGACCAUUCAAUUUUUAAGCCUUUGAUUCUGAAAAGUUCUCUACGACGAAGGGCCAAUCCACCUUAAACUCCUUCCUUCAACACACAGUUAUGUUAUCUGGUCCUAUAGUGUGAAUGCCAAUAUCCUAGUUAGGUAGCAGCAUAAUUUACUCCCAACUUCUCCAAGCAAUAGCUUUAUGAUUCAGAUUCUCUUUCCUUACAGUAGCAAAUUAAGGAUUCUUCAAAAUUUUAACAAAAAUUUCAUCAUGCUAUCAUUCUUCUAUGCAUUUGAAACAUUAUCAUGACUGGAUACUUCUAAUUGCUCGCUAGUUUAAUAUAAGAGCAUGUCAGAGAAUGCCAAUUCCUUCCUCUUGUACUAACAACUGCCGACUUCCUUUUACCUGCAUAACUUAAGAUUCUCAAGAUGCUCUAUAUUACAUGGUUAAGAUCAAAGCAGGAACGUGGGAAGAUAUAAAAAUAUCUCGUCAAUCUUGUAAGAGAAGCGAAAGAUUAUUAGCAGCUAGAGGAGUUUGAAGCACAGAACUCUCCAUCUCUACGGUGCUCUAGAAUCGGCUAACCAUGUUAUCCAAAAUGACCUUCAUCUCUUAAAGCGUAACCAUUCAAAGAUAACUGGCAGAUAUGUCAAACUUAAAGAAUGAAAUAGACAAAUCAUCGUCAUUAACUCGCACUAUGUACGUAGUAUGAAUUACUCGAUGCAGAUUAAUUCCAGAUUAUCUACAAUGAUUUUUAUCUACCAGACUGAGUUCGAUCAGGUCUUAGAUAAUUACAUAGAACAGUGCAUGGCUACACUACUUCUCCCAAUGUAUUUGACCUACUUAAUUGAAACCCACCACCUCAUAUUUGAGCCAAAGUAGCUAGUAACUUGUCACAAAUUCGUGAUAACUGCUAAAAUUCCGCUCUAUUUCUCUUCUUAUCAGUUAUGAAACUAACAUUACAUGUAUUUAUAUCAUCUCAUCACUAUAAGCGAUGCCCUACCAGCCUACCAACUUCGUACUCUCCUAGGAAAUUAUACAUGUAUAUAUAUAUAUAUAUAGUUUGGCUACUUUUACAUAUACGAGUACUGUUACGAUAUCAUGCAGCUAAUUACUCUCAAGCUAUUACCUUUGACUGCUAAUGCAGAAGAACUACCCUUGACACUAAAAUCAAAUAGAAGCAUACUGUUAUCAUAGAAGGGGAAGCAGUGAGAAAAUAAGGGUAGUAAAAUAUAUAGAGACCUGCGAGGACAUCUACGACGACGGCCGGACGCUCGGCCGCUCAUCCUUGCCCGGCCGAACUUGGCUUCAUGAACUGCCCACCCAACGGCCCUAUGCUCGCAGCUGACGCAUUCAGGGCGGCGACAAGUCCUGCUGCAUCAUACGCUCCAUUCGCACCCAAUCUCGCCACCAGCUCGCCGUCAUAAUUCCUCAUCAUCAAGUGGUGGUUGGGACGGGGGUCCCGGGCAUUUCCCGCCGGGAAGAGCUGCUCCCGGCCGAACCCGAUCCCGCCCACCCCGAUUUGGUGAUCGGCACUAACGUAGCCAUGCACGCCGGCGCUCGGCAGCCCGCCGCUGAAAUUGGGGGCGGAUGAGCCAGCGGCGGACUUGUACUUGGAGAGCUCGGACUUGGCGCAGGAGAGGUCCAUCUGUAGCUGGCGGAGCUGGUGCUGGAGGAUGGAGAUGACGCCGACGCAGCCAUAGACGGGGUCCCGGAGGCGCAUGUCGGCCUCGUAGGCGAGCGAGUUGACGGCAUCCUCCCGCUGGUACGGGUGCAGCUCGUUGAGCAGCUUCGUGACGUUGCUCGCGCCGAAGACGCGGUGCACGUGCACGAACUUCUGCGGCUGGUCCGGCGGGAAGUAGGGCGCGAAGACGCAGUCCGGCUGGCACUUGCGGCGGAGGAACUUGCAGGCCGCGCAUGGCGAGCUGGCCGACGCGGCCGUCGAAGAUGAUGCCGCAGCCGAUGACGCCGGGACCGGGGCUGACGACGACGCCAUCACCAACUAUCCCUUCCGAUCUCUUCGCUCGAAUACCUUUUCAUUACAUGAUCGAUAUAUAUGAACGAAAGAAAGAAAGGAAAUCGGUAUAAAUAUGGCAAGAAGAGAGAGGGAAGGUUUGGUGGUGAAACGAUACGUGAUCGUUUAGAAUAUGGGAUGAGAAAAAGGGAAUAAAAAGAAAAAGAUUUCGAUCCUGGAAUUUGUUUUGCCGACAAAUCCCACGAUCCAACUGUAAAGAUAAAAAAAUCUUAUAAUUGGAAAGGAUGAGCAGAGAACAGAGGCGUCCAGCGUUCUUCUCAAAUCUACCAUCUGCAGCUUAUUCUAUUUUAUUUUAUUGAAGUUUUCGAGAAGGAGAGAGCGACCAGGAGUGGGACGCGUUGGUCUCCUAUGAGUAAUUUAUUAGUGAUUUUUUUUUAAGCAAUAACGAGAGAUGUAAAUAAAUAUCUAGCAUGAGCAUUUUUCUUGGAGUCGAUGGUUGGAAAAGAGAGAAAGAGAGAAGCGAGAAAGGGCGGCUAUCGGAUCCGACGGCGACGGCGACGGCGACGGCGACGGCGCGGUUAAAAAGAGAAAGCUCACCUUUUUAUUCUUUCUUGUUUGGCCGGGUCCCGCCCUCCGCUCUUCGCUGCGCCUCCUUUUCGCCUCCCUCUUUUUUAUUCUCCGAGUAAGCGAGGGCUGCACUAGAUUCGAUUGGAUUAAAGCCAAAGCCAGCGGAAGGGAGGGGAGUUUGGGAGUGGGACGGGGAGGAGAGAGAGAGAGGGAGAGAUAAAAGAGGGGGAGCGAGGCGAGAGAUAAGCGGAGGCGAAGCACAGAAAGAUGGUGGAGGGGAGAUGGAAAGGCGAAAAAUAGGAGGAGGAGGAGGAGAGAGAGAGAAGGAAAUGGAUGUAUAUGUGUUUGUUUUAGUCACGCGAGACGGGAGCAGGAGAGAACACGGCGGUGGGAGAGAGAGCUGGUUUCUCCUUCUCCCCUCUCUCUCGACGCUGGGGAGUAAAUAAGGAAGGGAAUAAAUGGGAUUGGGGGGUCCCGGAAGGACGACUGGGGUGGUCGCAUGGCCAUGUCUCAAUGAUUUGACGCUUUCGCCCCAUUCUAAACCCAUAAUCUGAAAUAACGGCUUCACCCUCUUCAUCCGUGGUCCUUGUAAAUUUAUUUUUAAACAUGCAAUUUUUUAUUAAUAUUUGGCAUGAAAUAUUAGUAUAGAAAUUAGUGUUUGAUUGGGAAUAUUAGUAUAGAAAUAUUAUACACGAUAGAAGAAGUAGAGGGAGAAAGAUUAAGACUAUAUGGCAUGGAUACAAAUAAUCUGAACAAAUUUCUAUACGAUAUUACUAGUUUACUUCUCUUUUUAUUUAGCAAACCCAAGCUAUAUAGGGUUUGUGUCUGAAAAAUAAACCUAGUGAGAUACUAGGAUUAUUUGGAUCCUGAAAUUAAAGCCAAUGUAUUAUAGGGUUGGGCUUGAUUUUAGGUGGACCCAAACCCAAAUUUCAGAAUAUUAUAUGAUUGGCUUUGGUGAUUGCUUGACGGCUCUCUUAUCACCAUCCAAGGUUUGACCAUAGAAGCAAAAGGUUUGUAGUUAGUCCAUCUAUUCUAUCCAUUCAAUUUGAGCUUCUCUAUAGAAGAUGAUAUGCUAAAAUGGAGGUUAUAUAUUUAUAUACAAAUAUAAUUUAUUUUUAUUUUUAUUUUUUUAAAAAAUAAUUAGUACAGAGUAGUUGAACCAUAAUUCACUUGUUCUUCUACAUUCCUGUCCAUGGCUCAUGGUUUGAUAAUCCGAACCAUACUAGUUCAUCUGAAAAAUGAAUUAGGUUUGCUAGGGUUAGAUUUUGAAAAUUUAUUAUUUGCAGAAUUAAAUAGUUUGGAUUUAGUAAGACACUUCCUGGAGAUAAAUAAUAUACAAGAAUUUUAUAAGAUAAUUAGAAAUAUAAGAAGAGAGAUUAAUAAUAUCUAGCAUAUCUCGAAAUAAUUUCAGCAAAAUCUAAACUAUGCAGAUUAGUUCAUUACUUCGAACUGAUUUUUAUUUUGCCUUUGUUUUCGCAAUUAGGUACCUAUAAACUAUAAUGAGAUCGUUUUAGCAAUUAGUUACCUAUAAACUAUAAGGAGGGUAAUAAAUGUUAUAACAAUUUUUUAGUCCUCCAUGUAGGUAUAGGAAUGUCAACAAGUUGAUCCACAGGCAACAUUUUAUGUCAUUUCAUGCUAAGUCAAUUCAGUCAGGAUCAUUGCUCAAAUUUUUGAAUAUGCUCUUAGUGUAGCCCAUGACAUUUUUAGUCAUGUUAUAUGGAGGGUAAAAUAGAUAUUUUACUGCACAUGUGAAUGCAUCAGACCGCACCUGGUUUACAACUCUACAUGUAAGUGUAUCGGCACAAAAAUAUUCAAAAAAUCUAUCUUUUCUAGUAAUCCCAUAUUUUCAUGAGGCUCCAUAACAUGUGGCUGCAAUAUUCGCACUUCUAUAAUAGUUCUAUAUACUUUAAAUAAGGGAUUUUUCUGCAUAUAUAUCUCUACUAAUCUGACUUAUUCUAAAUGCAUUCGGUAAAAAUUACUGUUUAGUGGUUGCCAACCUAACACUCUUAUAAUGCUUCUAUUUUAGAUAGUAUGGUUUUUUGCAUAUAUGUAUAUACAAAUAUAGUUUGCUGCAAAUGUAUCGUCAAAAAUCAAUAUUUGCAUAUAUACACAUCAUUUCAGUCUAUCAACACUAGCAUGCUUGUAAAAUUUUUGGCUAUCAAUAACAAUAUCCAUCCAUCCAUCCAUCCAUCCAUAUAUAUAUAUAUAUAUAUAUAUAUAUAUAUAUAUAUAUAUAUANNNNNNNNNNNNNNNNNNNNNNNNNNNNNNNNNNNNNNNNNNNNNNNNNNNNNNNNNNNNNNNNNNNNNNNNNNNNNNNNNNNNNNNNNNNNNNNNNNNNNNNNNNNNNNNAUAAUAGAAUUAUCUUAUACUUAAAAUGACUACAUAUUGAUGCCAACAAUCAACAUUGUAACAUGAUGGGCAACACUGCAAAAUAGUGUAAAUCAAGAGCAAUAUAUGCAAAUACAGAUUUUUGAUGGUUACACAUAAAUAAACCACAUUGUAGGGGUAUGCAUGUGAAAAUUCCUAAACCAAUAUAUCCCUCAUGAUUCAUUUUUCAUUUUGUGUGUGAGAAACUAGAGAAGUGCACAUUCUAUAAUGAGACUGUAAUUAUCCACAAAAAUGACUUUAAUCAAAUUAAAGGAUUGCAAUGAUCCAUAGUAGAUUCUACAUGCAUCGCACAUGCCAAAUUAUAUUAUUUAUUAUAUAGGAAGCAUAGCAACUAUUCCUGUAGUUAAAUAUCUUUAUAAAUUUUAAUCCCAAGAUAAUUCCAAAAUCAAAUUUUAUCUUUCUCGACAAAACCAAAAUUUAUUCUUGAAACAGUAGCAUAAUAAGAAACACAAUUAUUUUAAGUUAUAUUUUCUUUUUGAGAACAAAGAUGGGGUCGCUCCAAUCAUUUCAAAUAAAUGAUGUAACUUACUCGGGUCAAAUUAUUGUCAGAACAUAUUUGCUGAUUUAAACUUGUAAAAUCCUCCAUUGGAGAAGAGCUGCAAUAGCUAUGUUUGAAGUCCAGUUUCCGACUAAUAAUUUUAGUUAUUUCUUUUACAAACACAUAUCUAAUUGGCCGCCACUAUUAUGAGAUACUACUACUACUAUUAUUAUUAUUAUUAUUAUUUUGGAUGGAGUCCACUGGACUUAUUCAUUCAACUGUAUCUCUCCAGUACAAGUUUUGUAAUUUGCACGAUUCUUUCCUCUCAAUUAAUGAGUGGCCCUUAGGCUGAGACAGAAUGGUAUUAUUGAGAGUGGCCCUCUCUCUCUCUCUCUCUUCNNNNNNNNNNNNNNNNNNNNAGUGGCCGUCCUCUCUCUCUCUCUCUCUUUCUCUUCCCCAACCCUGCUCUUCACUCUUAAUUGAGAUAUUAAGAGUGGAAAAUUAAAUGAACCUUAAGGGUGGAAAAUUUAAAAGUGAAAAUUAAACGAACCUGGGUUUAAAUACAUGUAUGACAUUAAAUGCAGAUAUGGUAUGAUCCUCUCAUCACCUUAUUAGAUCCCUCUGCAUUGAAUGCAAUGAUAGCCACAACUCAUAACACCUCCAUUCCCUCCCCGACACAAAAGCAAAUAGUAAUGAGAAUAAUGACGACGUUAUCGCUAGACUGGAUUUAACAGGAGGACAUGGAAGAGGCAUGCUGUGGGUGGAUCCCUCCAUUUAGAGCGAUGGGGUCAGGAUGGCACAUCAAAUAUGGUGACCCUUCGACGGACUUUGCGCUCUGCCAUGGAAUAAUAAGCGGCCAAGCUAGCUCGCAAUUAAUUUCUUUUACAUAUUCUACCACUUGAAGUGUCAAGCUUCUUCGUGUACAUGCCCAGAAAAAUUAAACUAGAUAAUUAUUAUUUUUGAACCUAAAUUUUCUAUGUAGAUGUGCAUCAUAUAUACUUUUGAUAGGAAAUUUCAUGUUCACAAGAAGACACUCUCAUUCUUAAUGCAAACAUUACAAUGAUGUAUGUUUUCAGCAGCACACACACACAUAAAAGAAAAGCUGCUAAAAUUCAUAAAAUUGUCUCUAAAUGUUUAUAGUGAUAAACUCGUGCUUGAGAGGGAAAGUAGCCCUUAUAGACACCAUAGUUAAAGUUUUGGCAAAAAUAUUUAUAUUUCCAUACUUCAAAAAUUAUAGAGGCAAAAAGAAAUUGCCGUUGUAAAUAGAAACUUUUAAAAGAUACUUUUUUGUCACUAUAGAAUAUUUUAGAGCAAAUUAUUUUUUCCGUUAUAUAUGCAAAUUGUUUGUAGAGGCAAAUACUAUUUGCCAUGAUAAAACUCAUAACUGAAAAAUUAUUGUUCUCGUAGUGAAACUUAACUCUUUCAAUAUGAUGACGAGCCGAGGUUAAAUUGAUUGACUAAAUGGUAUAAGUAUUGUUGGAAUUUUGAUUCUAGCUGACUUGAAAUAGUGUGAGAAUAUAUAACAUGUGCCACCUGCUUAAUUAUGUACCAUUUUAACCUACAAAGGGUCUAUCCAUACAGAUAAUAUAUAUGCAUUGUGCAGCAUCAAAUGCAAUGAUUCGAUUUUCUUCAUCCUACUGGAAGUUUCACACGAUGAUAUUUGUGUUAAUAAUGACUAACCAACACAUGCACUUGAUUCAAACGAGGUUGUAACUCUAUAAUUACACCCCUCCAUUUUGAAGUCAUUCUAGGUUCAAACUAGGUUGUGUUUUCUCAAGUGUUUGGCAGAGAUCGAUUUUAGUGUUCGUGAGUAUCGACACUAGGCCUGAUAAACUUAAAACCUACUUGCACUUGACCAAGACUCCAUAUGAAAUGACUUGGAAACUUUUGGGUUCAUUAUGCUCCAAGGUUAGAUCCUUAAAGCAUCUUAGGUUAGGACUCUUAUACCUCUAUGCUACAUUUAGUUCCCGAAAUGAGUAUUGGAAUGGAAGGGAGAUUCUAACUCCGGCCCCGCACACGCAUUUGGUAUGACAAUAAAGGAUAGAAUCAUAUUUUCUUUGAAAUAAUUAUUCUUUCAUUUGAUGAAAGGGCAAUUUUACUUAUACAUAGAAGGAAUUGUUAUUCUCAUGAAAAUAGGAAUUAGUGAUAUUGUUGACAAAAUGGUAACAAAUAGCAUGUUUUGAUAAGAAUUAAUUAUCUGUGAUCAUGAUAUCAAAUAAAAAUAAAUAAUUUAGUAUACAUUUAAUUUGACACAUUAUUUUAGUAAAUAAAAAUAUCAAAUAGCAUGCAUUGUAAUCUUAUAUCAACCAAUACUUACAAAGUUUUGCUUUGUAUCAUAUACAAAUAAAUGCGCAUUGGUGCAAGUUAAAGAAAAAAGAAAGAUAUAAAUAUAAAUUAUUAGAUAGGAUUGAAUACAAAAGGCAAAAACAUAUUAAAUAAAAAUAACAAUUAAUAUAAAUUAAUAAAUAAAAUAUAAAUGAACUAAACAUUAAAAAAUAAAUAUAUCAACAUAAAAACUAAAGUAUAAAAAUAUAAAUAAUUGAUCUUAAAAUUUAAGGUAGUGGAUUUAAAUUAAAGGUAUGGAGAAUAGUAAAUAACAAAUAAUUACUAAAAUAUAAAACCCAAAAAUUUAAUAUACAUUUAAAAAAUUAAUAUAAAAUAAAUAUAUAAUCAAUUAAAUUAUCUAUUGGAAUUUAAUUGCUAUUUUUUUUACCUGAUAUUUUUUUUUAAGUGUAUAUAUAUAUAUAUAUAUAUCAAUCUCAAGCUCACCUUCGGAUAUCAGGUAUCAAAAUUAUCAUUAUCAUAAGUUAAAAAAUUUUUAAAAGAAGUUAGCUAUUAUGAUACGAUGUAAAUUAAUAAUAAUCCUCUUAACAUGAAAAUUCACAAUCCUACAUGUAAGGAAAAAAAAUAAACAGCUGCGUACUCUUAUAUGCAUAUGAUAGCACCAGCGUUUAUGCCGCGACAACUAGUAGAAUCAAAACAAAAGCAAGACGGAAAAGAAAAAGUUAGAUCCUUGAAUGCGUGAAGGUAGGGCAAGGUAAUGCGGAGAAUGCCACGACUCAACUAUGUUUAAAAUCCUUCUUAGGGAUGGCACGUGUAACCCGUUAUAAGAGUCAGGGAUGUAGAGAGAGAGAGAGAGAUAAACUAGACAGCUAGGAAGAGAAGACAGCUUGGAGGGAGAGGAUAUUACAUGUCGAAGAAUGAUAUAGAAAACAUCUCAAUUGUGCUAGCACGAAACUAGCUUAUCAACGCUGCUGUUACACUAGAAACAGUCUCUAAGAUCUAUAGGCCAAUUACACUCUCCACUAUUCUGAAAGCCUCAUCUAUGUAGGUAAGGCAGGGUGGGCGAGCACACCCUGGCAUGCUACUACAUGUACAUGGAUUAGACGGCUCGGAUGGUGUUGUCUUACCAUAAAUGAGCUCUUUUCUCCACGGACUCUCCCCGCUUUGCGCACGAGUUCUUUCCAAUUUAAACAAAAAAAAUUAACUACUUUUAUAUGUAAUCCAUUUUCGUCCCCAUUUUUUUAUUUUCCCGGAAGCAAAAAGUGAUAGGGAGGAUCGCGUACUUCUCGCGAGUGCAGAGCGUACGACGGGGGACGCGGAAAGGAAGGCUGAGAGAGAGAGAGAGAGAGAGAUCCGUCCCUUCGAGGUGACCCGUCCUUAAUCUGACCGUGACGUAGACAACCCACACGCCCCGCCGGGCCACCGUCCGGUUUUCAGGUUGACUUCAAGCAUCGGCUGCCGUGAAGUAAAAAAGAAAAGAGAAAUAGCGACACGUCAACGUCAGUACGUUCCUUUCCUCGCGAUGCGUGCUACAUAUAUUUAUAUAUUUAAACUUCUUCGCUUUAAAAAAAGCUUUUACCCUGCAGGAGUUUCUUGGGGGAGGGAAGGGUAGGAGACAAAGGUUCAUGGCGUUGGAAGAAGUAACCGUACACUUCGCCUAUCGAUUUGAUGUAUGUUCUCGGCUUCACGUACUGAUAUGGCAAGAUGAGGGAGUCUAUGGGGAUUUACGUUUUGCCUUUUGGUUGUUAGGUGUGGAGGGAUUACGGGGCGGUGGGGGGACAAAACGGAGGGAGGCUGUGGAUGGGGCGGUGGAGUUGUCGCAAACGGAUGUGGGCAUGAGCCAUCCCAUCAUAGGGAUCGCCAUGGUUGCAUCAUGGGUGAUGGAUGCUAAUGUUGCUCCAUAUAUGAACUCCCUAAACUUUUUCUUACACUAAGCAAAAAAAAAAAAACUUUUUACUUACUCAUGCGUCAAGAGAUGGUUGGUACGGUAGAGGAAAGGGCGGUCGGAUCUUGUCAUGCUAUGCCUGUGCAAUGCUGGCAUCAAGAAUUAAUACCUUUUGAAGGAAGACUUCCGCUCGUUCUAUAGCUUUGAAACUGGAAUAUAGGUUUGCAAUGUAGAGUGGCGUUACGUGCCGUGGCAUAUGUACCAGUAGUUGCUCAGAGAUUCCAUAGCUCACAGCAAUGAUACUGACUCGAAAUACUUUGAGAUUCCUAGCCUUAGAUUUUUGAUUGCGGGUUUCUCCAGGAUGUUGCUGCAAUAAACACUAAAGAGAAGCACUGCUGCAUCAUAGGGAACAUUGAUAAGCACGCCAUAGUAACCCCGGAUCUGGAUUCCCUCCAGGAUGGUAUAAUGGAUUAAAUAUUGCUGGUAGUUCAAUUGGCAAUGAUGCAUGUUUGGUCAAUUAAAUUUCAUCGUUUGUGUGGAUAUUGCCUCUUCAUGAUGUUAACCAAGAUACAGCUACAAUCAGGAUUGAAAAUAACCGCUUCGCAGUGACCAACUGAAUAUAUUAUUGACAUACAAAAACGGGUCAAGUUUCAAUUCUUAAGAACUUAGCCCUCCGAUUAUGAUGAUUUUGCCACUUUUUAUUGGCUAUUUUUUUCCUAAUAACCGACGCUUUAGCGAGACUUGAAUACGGCAAGAUACAGGAAAGGUUUUAAGAUUAGUUCAUUUUUGGAAUAGACAUCCAAGAACUGUAAUUUACUGAUUUGAACGUACGUCCACCCGGUCUGUCCUUGCUGACCAUUCUUGUCAUCAAAGAAAGAAUGUGUUGAACCAUCGGUGACUGAUUGGGGACCCCUUUCCCUUCUAAUCUCUCUCCUUUUAUGUUGUUUCUUUUGCUAUUUCGCGUGUAGUGGGUAGCUAGGCGUAGAGAAAUAGAUGUGAUUCGGUAUUUUGUUUACGUUUAGUACUUGCAGCACCAGAAUGAGGGCAUUCUUCUGAAUUCAAGUGAAGCUCUAGCUUUAAGAGGUGCCCUCUGGUUGAUAGUAUGACUAUAAAAAGGCCCAUCCAAAUAUGUAAGCAACAAAAUCCAACCUGUACGUAACAUAGUACCACUGAAAAAUGAUACCUCAAACACAUAUCUAUAUCCGUAUCUAUAUGAAUCAUAGACUGAAUAUGGCUGGGGAUAAUAAAAUUCAAUAUACGACUCAAAACCUAAUACGUUUAUAUAACCUACUCUACAUGCAAGAUCAUCUACAACCGCAUUAUGUCCUGAGUGACAUUAAGGAGCCUGUCUCAUAUGCAAUCGUAUCCUUACGAGAUCUAAUAAAUCGUGCACUGACUUCUAUUCUUUGUAGAACGUGU